GGCUAUAGCCAAGCGGUAAGGCAACGGACUUUGACUCCGUCACUCCGAUGGUUCGAAUCCAUCUAGCCC
RNAcentral lists this transfer RNA (69 nucleotides) under human gut metagenome. It matches the Rfam family "tRNA". From Rfam's summary of the family: Transfer RNA (tRNA) molecules are approximately 80 nucleotides in length. Their secondary structure includes four short double-helical elements and three loops (D, anti-codon, and T loops). The record is from RNAcentral. RNAcentral also lists the same sequence under 1 other name.